UACGUAGGGGGCGAGCGUUAUCCGGAUUUACUGGGUGUAAAGGGAGCGUAGACGGCUGGUCAAGUCUGAAGUGAAAGCCCGGGGCUUAACCCCGGGACGGUUUUGGAAACUGAGCAGCUAGAGUGCUGGAGAGGUAAGCGGAAUUCCUAGUGUAGCGGUGAAAUGCGUAGAUAUUAGGAGGAACACCAGUGGCGGAGGCGGCUUACUGGACAGUAACUGACGUUGAGGCUCGAAAGCGUGGGGAGCAAACAGG
RNAcentral lists this ribosomal RNA (253 nucleotides) under uncultured bacterium. Its description in RNAcentral is "partial 16S ribosomal RNA". It matches the Rfam family "Bacterial small subunit ribosomal RNA", at positions 524 to 776 of the family's 1533-position model. The record is from RNAcentral.